CUUAAUUUAAGGUAUAGCCUGCUCUAUGAAUAUUUUAAAUGGCCGCGGUAUUUUGACCGUGCGAAGGUAGCAUAAUCAUUAGUCUUUUAAUUGAAGGCUGGUAUGAAUGGCUGGACGAGAAAAUUUCUGUCUCUGUUAUAAUAUUUGAAUUUUAUUUUUAAGUGAAAAAGCUUAAAUUUUUUUGAGGGACGAUAAGACCCUAUGGAUCUUUAUAAUAAUAAAUAGUAAAAAGCUUAGAUUGUAACAGCUUAUUAUUUUGAAUUAUUGGGUUGGGGCGACCAGGAGAAAAAAGUAUCUCUUCUUAAAUAAAAUAUUAUUAGUAGAAAUAAAUUGACCCUGAAUUUUGGUUUAAAAGACUAAGUUACCCUAGGGAUAACAGCGUAAUCUUUUUGGAGAGUUCAUAUCGAUGAAAGGGUUUGCGACCUCGAUGUUGGAUUAAGAGACCCUUACGGCGCAGCCGUUGUAAAGGAAAGUCUGUUCGACUUUUAAA
Molecule: ribosomal RNA, 490 nt
Filed under: Triops granarius
Lineage: Eukaryota; Metazoa; Arthropoda; Branchiopoda; Notostraca; Triopsidae
Description: partial 16S ribosomal RNA
Rfam family: Bacterial large subunit ribosomal RNA
Source: RNAcentral